This is a long non-coding RNA of Etheostoma spectabile (orangethroat darter), 156 nucleotides long. RefSeq lists it as uncharacterized. The record is from RefSeq and is a predicted model, not a curated record. The transcript is spliced from 3 exons. NCBI's taxonomy places the organism in Eukaryota, Metazoa, Chordata, Actinopteri, Perciformes, Percidae.
ACCCCAAUCUCGUGGGUGAAAGUCCUGUGUUGUUUGACCCAUCCACAACCCCAACCAACCUCCUUACGUGGCAUUUUGGACUUUCAUACUACUUGCUUCUGUUGUUGCUCUUAAUACAACUUCAUCUUACAGCGCCGCAGUUGGGCUGCUGCUCUC